ACGGAAGGCAGCAGUGGGGAAUAUUGCACAAUGGGCGAAGGCCUGAUGUAGCGACGCCGCGUGAGCGAUGAAGUAUUUCGGUAUGUAAAGCUCUAUCAGCAGGGAAGAUAAUGACGGUACCCGACUAAGAAGCACCGGCUAAAUACGUGCCAGCAGCCGCGGUAAUACGUAUGGUGCAAGCGUUAUCCGGAUUUACUGGGUGUAAAGGGUGCGUAGGUGGUAUGGCAAGUCAGGAGUGAAAACUAUGGGCUCAACCCAUAGACUGCUUUUGAAACUGUCAAACUAGAGUGCAGGAGAGGAAAGAAGAAUUCCUAGUGUAGCGGUGAAAUGCGUAGAUAUUAGGAGGAAUACCAGUGGCGAAGGCGUCUUUCUGGACUGUUACUGACACUGAGGCACGAAAGCGUGGGGAGCAAACAGGAUUAGAUACCCUGGUA
Molecule: ribosomal RNA, 434 nt
Filed under: uncultured Lachnospiraceae bacterium
Lineage: Bacteria; Bacillati; Bacillota; Clostridia; Lachnospirales; Lachnospiraceae
Description: partial 16S ribosomal RNA
Rfam family: Bacterial small subunit ribosomal RNA
Source: RNAcentral